GAUACCAGGGUCAAAAGGUCAAAAAUACGAUGCAAGCUGGCUUGCAAGAGGAUUUUGAUCUUGGGACCCACCAAAACAUGAGUAAAGAAGCUAUUUUUCCAAGAAAAAUAUGCGAUUUACGAAUGUUUUGAGGAGUGUGAAAGCACAUGGUGCGGAACACUCCGG
Molecule: small RNA, 165 nt
Filed under: uncultured Anaerotignum sp.
Lineage: Bacteria; Bacillati; Bacillota; Clostridia; Lachnospirales; Anaerotignaceae
Description: Clostridiales-1 RNA
Rfam family: Clostridiales-1 RNA
Source: RNAcentral